Molecule: non-coding RNA, 72 nt
Organism: Xylariales sp. AK1849
Lineage: Eukaryota; Fungi; Ascomycota; Sordariomycetes; Xylariales
Source: the annotation of a GenBank genome assembly
GCCGCGUUGUGGUAGUAGUUAACCGGCUUCCCUCCCACGGAAGAGUCGUGGGUGCAAAUCCCGCACGUGGCA